Molecule: ribosomal RNA, 402 nt
Filed under: uncultured prokaryote
Description: bacterial SSU rRNA
Rfam family: Bacterial small subunit ribosomal RNA
Source: RNAcentral
UAGGGAAUAUUCCGCAAUGGGCGAAAGCCUGACGGAGCAACGCCGCGUGAGUGAAGAAGAUCUUCGGAUUGUAAAGCUCUGUCAACAGGGACGAUAAUGACGGUACCUGUGGAGGAAGCCAAGGCAAACUACGUGCCAGCAGCCGCGGUGAUACGUAGGUGGCAAGCGUUGUCCGGAAUAACUGGGCGUAAAGCGCAGGUAGACGGCAUAGCAAGCCAAGUGUGAAAGUUAGGGGCUUAACCUCGAAACUGCGCUUGGAACUGCUGAGCUUGAGUGCAGGAGAGGCAAGUGGAAGUCCCAGUGUAGCAGUGAAAUGCGUAGAUAUUGGGAGGAACACCAGUGGCGAAGGCGACUUGCUGGACUGCAACUGACGUUGAGAUGCGAAAGCUAGGGGAGCAAACG